GAUAGACAGAGAGAUGGAUUUUCAUAGCCUCAGAAAUCAAUAAGCCUAUAGGUCACGAACAUAUUCUCUAAGACUAUUCUAAGAACUGAAUUGGCGCCACACCUCCAUGCGCUGGCCUCAUCCUCUGAAGAGGAUUUUAUUCUAAAAGCCACAGUCUAACCUGGAAACCAGACCAGAGCCCAGCUUGUCUCAAGGGGAUGGAUAAUGGACUCCCUGAGCGGUGGCAUCAAGCUAGCCAGCUACAGUGUGGCCCUGGUUAUUAAGAGGCACAAAUGUUGAGGACGUGGGAGACCUUGUUGCCUACUGACAAACCUUGAUCUACAUCUGUAUUGCCAAUUACUUGCUCAACAAACCUGUUACUUUUUUGGAAAUAAUAAAUAAUUCAGAGAAAAU
Long non-coding RNA from Mastomys coucha (southern multimammate mouse), 393 nucleotides. RefSeq lists it as uncharacterized. The transcript has 2 exons. Lineage: Eukaryota; Metazoa; Chordata; Mammalia; Rodentia; Muridae. The record is from RefSeq and is a predicted model, not a curated record.